UAACCCCGGGAAACCUGGAUCUAAUACCGGAUACAACACCAACGGGCAUCCGUAUGGUGUGGAAAGUUUUUCGGUCUGGGAUGGACUCGCGGCCUAUCAGCUUGUUGGUGAGGUAGUGGCUCACCAAGGCGACGACGGGUAGCCGGCCUGAGAGGGCGACCGGCCACACUGGGACUGAGACACGGCCCAGACUCCUACGGGAGGCAGCAGUGGGGAAUAUUGCACAAUGGGCGCAAGCCUGAUGCAGCGACGCCGCGUGAGGGAUGACGGCCUUCGGGUUGUAAACCUCUUUCAGCAGGGAAGAAGCGCAAGUGACGGUACCUGCAGAAGAAGCACCGGCUAACUACGUGCCAGCAGCCGCGGUAAUACGUAGGGUGCGAGCGUUGUCCGGAAUUAUUGGGCGUAAAGAGCUUGUAGGUGGUUUGUCGCGUCUGCUGUGAAAAUCCGGGGCUCAACCCCGGACUUGCAGUGGGUACGGGCAGACUAGAGUGUGGUAGGGGAGACUGGAAUUCCUGGUGUAGCGGUGGAAUGCGCAGAUAUCAGGAGGAACACCGAUGGCGAAGGCAGGUCUCUGGGCCAUUACUGACACUGAGAAGCGAAAGCAUGGGGAGCGAAC
This 616-nucleotide ribosomal RNA is filed under the name Terrabacter sp. T1-YC6771. RNAcentral's name for it is "bacterial SSU rRNA". It matches the Rfam family "Bacterial small subunit ribosomal RNA", at positions 144 to 773 of the family's 1533-position model. Lineage: Bacteria; Bacillati; Actinomycetota; Actinomycetes; Micrococcales; Intrasporangiaceae. The record is from RNAcentral.